RNAcentral lists this ribosomal RNA (253 nucleotides) under uncultured bacterium. RNAcentral's name for it is "partial 16S ribosomal RNA". It matches the Rfam family "Bacterial small subunit ribosomal RNA", at positions 524 to 776 of the family's 1533-position model. The record is from RNAcentral.
UACAGAGGGGGCAAGCGUUAUUCGGAAUUACUGGGCGUAAAGGGCGCGUAGGCGGCCUUGUAAGUCCUGUGUGAAAUCCCCCGGCUCAACUGGGGAACUGCACAGGAGACUGCUUGGCUUGAGUUCGGGAGAGGGAAGCGGAAUUCCGGGUGUAGCGGUGAAAUGCGUAGAUAUCCGGAGGAACACCGGUGGCGAAGGCGGCUUCCUGGACCGACACUGACGCUGAGGCGCGAAAGCCAGGGGAGCAAACGGG